GGGCGGUUAGCUCAGCGGUGAGAGCGCCUGUCUUACACACAGGAGGUCAGAGGUUCAAAUCCUCUACCGCCCACCA
Molecule: transfer RNA, 76 nt
Filed under: Chloroflexi bacterium RBG_13_51_36
Lineage: Bacteria; Bacillati; Chloroflexota
Also listed under: 2 other names
Description: tRNA-Val
Rfam family: tRNA
About the family: Transfer RNA (tRNA) molecules are approximately 80 nucleotides in length. Their secondary structure includes four short double-helical elements and three loops (D, anti-codon, and T loops).
Source: RNAcentral